This 1914-nucleotide long non-coding RNA is filed under the name Solanum tuberosum (potato). RNAcentral's name for it is "long non-coding RNA (STUB_LNC000646)". The record is from RNAcentral. Lineage: Eukaryota; Viridiplantae; Streptophyta; Magnoliopsida; Solanales; Solanaceae.
UACCAGUUCCGCACCGAAAAAUGGUAUCAAAUGUAUAAAACUUUUUAAUGACAUUUUUAUAUUAAAAGUUUUCUACUGAAAGAAGUUAAGCACUUUUAACAAAGAAACUUAAAAGGUCUAAUGUAUACAGUUGUUAAAGUUAAAAGAUUUUUGAAAAGAAACCGAAAUGUAAGAUUUUUAGAAAAACAUAAAAUAGUUAACUGUUAAACAAAAAGAGACAAAUAAAAUAUGAGUAAAAGCAAACAUAAUAGAAACAACUAAAAUUAUAACGGAUUGAUUUUCCAGAUUUGCUUGCUUCUGGAAGAGUCUCAAGGAAGAAAGAGGCCCAAAGAGAAAUAGAGGAUGAACGUUUCCAAUGUGAGCGAUGGUGGUGAGUCCCGAAAUGAGACUUUUUGCAUGAUAAGAGCCUUUUAUGAACACUCCAAUAAGCUCCGAGAGUGUCCAUGAAAAUAAAGAGAGUAAGAAGAGAUUAGUAGAGCGAGUCAACCUUAAACGAUAUUUUGAAUAAAUCAAGAAUAGAGUCGAGUAAAGUCGGACAAAAAAUUGAUAUCCAAAACAUGAAACGUACAAAUGCCAAAAGAGGCUCAAACAAACUACUACAUCGUCUUGGAAGUUAUGAUAUAAUACACAAACCCAUUAGUAACUAGAUGGAAAUCAAUCAAAUUUCUUGAUAUAUAUAUAUAUAUAUAUAUAUAUAUAUAUAUAUAUAUAUAUAUAUAUAUAUAUAUAUAUAUAUAUAUAUACUAGAGUCACCGCACGUGCAUUGCACGUGGUUGCCUAGUCUCGUGAUGCGUUAAAUUGUGAAGCAGUAAAGCAUGAAUACUUUCUUUGUUCAAUAUAUGGAAUAUGUCUUUAAGGAAUUUGUUUGUAUGGAUGUUUCUUAGUUACUAUAUAUUUGUCGGUAUGGAUGUUUCUUAGUUACUAAAUAUUAGUUCAUGCCUACAAUUGUGAAGCAGUAAAGCAUGCACACUCUCUUUGUUCAAUACAUGUCAUACGUCUUAAGGAAUUUGUUUGUAUGGAUGUUUCUUAGUUACUAAAUAUUUGUUUAUAAAUAAUACUCCAUUUAGUCCGACAAAUUGUCUUGAAUUAGAUGCAUUUAAUGGUGCGAAAGCUCAAAAUAAUAAGCGGAUAUGUAAUAUUGCUCGAAGCUACAUUUGGUAUUGUUUAUGACAUUGUUCCAAAAUUGCGGAUACCUUGAAGGAGUUUGAAGUCAUUCAUAUCCUAAUUAUCAAUAUCAAAGUUUUCACAUUAACUGUAUUUCCUUCAAAAGUUGCAUUAUGAUGGCUAGCUCAUCUCUUUUUCAACCGGACCUAUAAAUAUGACCAAAAGACAUUUUGAUUAGCUUCAUGUAAUAUGUUAGUUUUGUUCCAACUUGAUUACGCUAAUGAAGAUUGAAAGCGUCACUAAGAUAAUACUUUCUUGCGUUACACGUGAUUACCAAUUUGAAAAAUAUAUGUUAUGAUUAAUAGAAUUGCUUAUUUAAGCAAAGAUUUGAAUACUAAGCUUAGAAAAAAAUAAUAUUGCAGAUUCUUUUGUGAAUAUUCAAUGUGGAUCGUCAUAUAUGUCUCUUAUUCAUGGAAACCUAUGAAGAUGGUCAAUGAAAAAAUUUAUUAGUUAAAUGUAAUUAUAUAUAUAUAUAUAUUUCAAUUUGAUUAGGUUCAAUCAUGUAAUUAGUCUUAUCUCACUAAUAUUACCUUAUAGACAAUAUAUAUUUAUUUUGUAUUUUUCUUGUCAUCUGAGUAGAUGUGCUUUGCCUGUGUAUUCUACAUUAAAUUGUUUAUAUAUCAUAUGAACAUGUGAAGAGAACAACUACAUUUUAUAUAUUCACAUAUUUUCACAUUUGUUGUGAGUUUUUUUCAAAAAAGAAUAACUCUGUAAAUUUUAAAAUAAUAUAUUUUCAAGUUUGAAGAUCUC